GGGUGAACGCUGGCGGCGUGCCUAACACAUGCAAGUCGAGCGGUGCAGUUUGAAGCUUCGGUGGAAAGCUGCAUAGCGGCGGACGGGUGAGGAAAACGUAGGAACGUGCCCCUUGGAGUUGGAUAGCCACGGGAAACUGUGGGUAAACCGACAUAGACUCGAGAGAGUAAAGGCCGAAAGGCGCCAAGGGAGCGGCCUGCGGCCCAUCAGGUAGUUGGUAGUGUAAAGGACUACCAAGCCGACGACGGGUAGCCGGUCUGAGAGGAUGGCCGGCCACAAGGGCACUGAGAGACGGGCCCUACUCCUACGGGAGGCAGCAGUGGGGGAUUUUGGACAAUGGGCGAAAGCCUGAUCCAGCGACGCCGCGUGGAGGACGAAGCCCUUCGGGGUGUAAACUCCUUUUCUCAGGGAAAAAGGAUGAUGGUACCUGAGGAAUAAGCCCCGGCUAACUACGUGCCAGCAGCCGCGGUAAUACGUAGGGGGCGAGCGUUACCCGGAAUUACUGGGCGUAAAGGGUGCGUAGGCGGCCUUGCAAGUCCGGUGUUAAAAGCCCUGGCUCAACUAGGGAGAUGCGCUGGAAACUGUAAGGCUUGGGUGCAGCAGAGGCAGAUGGAACUGCUGGUGUAGGGGUGAAAUCCGUAGAUAUCAGCAGGAACGCCGGUGGAGAAGUCGGUCUGCUGGGCUGUGACCGACGCUGAGGCACGAAAGCUAGGGGAGCGAACCGGAUUAGAUACCCGGGUAGUCCUAGCCGUAAACGAUGCUCACUUGGUGUGGGGGCAUAGAGCCUCUGUGCUGAAGCGAACGCGUUAAGUGAGCCGCCUGGGGAGUAUGCCCGCAAGGGUGAAACUCAAAGGAAUUGACGGGGGCCCGCACAAGCAGUGGAGCGUGUGGUUUAAUUGGAAGCUAAGCCAAGAACCUUACCAGGGUUUGACAUGCUGGUGGUACGGACUCGAAAGAGGAAGGACCUUAUCGAAAGAUGAGGAGCCAGCACAGGUGGUGCACGGUCGUCGUCAGCUCGUGCCGUGAGGUGUUGGGUUAAGUCCCGCAACGAGCGCAACCCCUACUCUUAGUUACCAGCACGAAAG
RNAcentral lists this ribosomal RNA (1085 nucleotides) under uncultured bacterium. Its description in RNAcentral is "bacterial SSU rRNA". It matches the Rfam family "Bacterial small subunit ribosomal RNA", at positions 27 to 1129 of the family's 1533-position model. The record is from RNAcentral.